This 516-nucleotide ribosomal RNA is filed under the name uncultured bacterium. Its description in RNAcentral is "partial 16S ribosomal RNA". It matches the Rfam family "Bacterial small subunit ribosomal RNA", at positions 28 to 523 of the family's 1533-position model. The record is from RNAcentral.
GACGAACGCUGGCGGCGUGCCUAAUACAUGCAAGUCGAGCGGAUCUGAUGGAGUGCUUGCACUCCUGAUGGUUAGCGGCGGACGGGUGAGUAACACGUAGGUAACCUGCCCGACAGACCGGGAUAACAUUCGGAAACGAAUGCUAAUACCGGAUACGCGAUUUGGUCACAUGGCCGAAUCGGGAAAGACGGAGCAAUCUGUCACUGUUGGAUGGACCUGCGGCGCAUUAGCUAGUUGGUGAGGUAACGGCUCACCAAGGCGACGAUGCGUAGCCGACCUGAGAGGGUGAUCGGCCACACUGGGACUGAGACACGGCCCAGACUCCUACGGGAGGCAGCAGUAGGGAAUCUUCCGCAAUGGGCGAAAGCCUGACGGAGCAACGCCGCGUGAGUGAUGAGGGUUUUCGGAUCGUAAAGCUCUGUUGCCAGGGAAGAACGCUUAGGAGAGUAACUGCUCCUAAGGUGACGGUACCUGAGAAGAAAGCCCCGGCUAACUACGUGCCAGCAGCCGCAGUAA